RNAcentral lists this long non-coding RNA (824 nucleotides) under Androctonus crassicauda. Lineage: Eukaryota; Metazoa; Arthropoda; Arachnida; Scorpiones; Buthidae. The record is from RNAcentral.
UUAUAAUCUAAACUGCAUUAUUUAUACUCGCAAAAUCUAUAAAUAAAGUAUGCGUGUCUUAUGUCUUUCUUUCAGUCUACCGAGAGCGUGUAUAACGUAGGUGAUAGCUGUUAAAUAAAUAAAAAAAAAUAUAUAAAAGUUAAUCAAAACGUAUUAAUUUUGACUUAAUAAUUAAUUAUAGAAAAAAGUCUCGAAUGGAUUUAGAAAAAGUCAUCAUUAAAAAGAGAUUUAAUUGAUUUCCCAUACUAUUGAGACGUCGUGUGUAGAGCGGGUAAAUUGCCACCAGUUAUCAGACAUACCGACGAAUCCAGAUUACUCGUUUUGAUUCUAGUUCAGUCGAGUAUCCUCCCGUGAGUAAACGCCUCAUUUCGACAAAGUCACGGGCCACGCCUGGCUGACUUUUCCAUUAAAAUUGGCCACGUCAUCCGCUGUAUAUUCGAGGCAACAUUAAUAAAGUGAGAGGUUUGAGUCAGUAUGAUAAUCUAACUGGCCAGCAUCCACAGGGUAAUAAAACCCAGAUGCUUAGGCCCAUCUAUGCUAUUGCUCCAACAUCUACAAGUACUUCGCUUCCCAAUCGAUAAAUGUUUCGUGUCAAAAUUUAAUUUCUUUUUUUUUAUUAUUAUUAUUAUUCUCUCCCGUCGGUUACUAAGAAAUGAAUCCCGGAUAAAAAAAGAAAAAAUACAAAUCCGAAUUUACAAAUUUAUAGCCAACCAUUACGCGUGCGGGUUAUUACGCAUUUUUUUUUUAAUCGAGUAUAAUUUAAAACCGAAUCGUGAUAAACUUUCCCAUAUUUAAUACGAAUAAUAAUAAUAAUAAUUUUAAAA